This 52-nucleotide microRNA precursor is filed under the name Marmota monax (woodchuck). Lineage: Eukaryota; Metazoa; Chordata; Mammalia; Rodentia; Sciuridae. The record is from RNAcentral.
UUUUAAGUAUUAGUAUGUCCCAACUGUUACAUGGGAUAUACUUACACUAAAA